RNAcentral lists this ribosomal RNA (255 nucleotides) under uncultured bacterium. RNAcentral describes it as "partial 16S ribosomal RNA". It matches the Rfam family "Bacterial small subunit ribosomal RNA", at positions 524 to 776 of the family's 1533-position model. The record is from RNAcentral.
UACAGAGGGUGCAAGCGUUGUUCGGAAUUAUUGGGCGUAAAGCGCGUGUAGGCGGCUUUGCAAGUCGGGUGUGAAAGCCCUCAGCUUAACUGAGGAAGUGCGCCCGAAACUGCAGAGCUUGAGUACCGGAGAGGAUGGCGGAAUUCCCCCAAGUAGAGGUGAAAUUCGUAGAUAUGGGGAGGAACACCGGUGGCGAAGGCGGCCAUCUGGACGGAUACUGACGCUGAGACGCGAAAAGCGUGGGUAGCAAACAGG